GACCAAAGGUGGUAUGGUGAUUUUAGCAACAUGGUUGAGCAAAGCAGCUCUUGAAGAACAAACAACUGUUAUUCUUAUCAUUUUUAAGGUUCUUCGUCACCUUCUAUUACAUAAGGCUUUGCCAGUACAUAUUUCAGCCAUAUUACAAACUGUUAACAGGUUGCGAUUUUACUGGACAUCAGGGAGAUUUGGCAAAUUACCUUCAAAAGAAAGGACGUCUACAGCCUUCUAAAGCUCUGAGAUUUUCUCUUGAUAUUGCUAGGUCAAGUAUGGUUACCUGAUUUGGCAAUUCUGCUUCUAUCCUUGUGCUUCCCUGUUGGAAUGUAACUCUUUAGAGAUGGAAACCUCUCGUUACAAAUAUCAUGUGGAUGAACUUACCUUGUUCACGCAAGUAUCUAUUUUCUCUUAUGCAAUGUGUUUCUAAAAUUUAUCAUCAUCACUAGAAAAAGGUAACAGAGUCUUUUUGCCAUUGUCUAAUCUUUUAUUUUCCCUUGAACAGCUUUUACCCUGCUUUCAGAGCUUGGUAGUUUCAAGUUAAAAUCCAUUCAUUACACUAGUAAUCGUAAUUAAAUUUGAUCCAAACAUGCCCUUAAAUUGUCUUUUAAGAUGUCAUGUUGCAAUAACAAUGUACUCAAAACAAUGGAUUUCAUGACGAGCGGUCCAGAUGAUGGUUCUAAUGCAUAUGUGAUCAUAACAAAAACAAGUACAACAACUCAUCAGGUGGGCCACUCAUUUAUGAAAAAAAUAAAAAUUGAUUUAGAAUUAAAUAGAAAUUGGUCACAUACCCAGCUUGUCUGCAGUUUCUUCUGGUUAAUCACUAUC
Magnolia sinica is the source of this 822-nucleotide long non-coding RNA. RefSeq lists it as uncharacterized. NCBI's taxonomy places the organism in Eukaryota, Viridiplantae, Streptophyta, Magnoliopsida, Magnoliales, Magnoliaceae. The record is from RefSeq and is a predicted model, not a curated record. The transcript has 5 exons.